This is a long non-coding RNA of Juglans microcarpa x Juglans regia, 1152 nucleotides long. RefSeq lists it as uncharacterized. NCBI's taxonomy places the organism in Eukaryota, Viridiplantae, Streptophyta, Magnoliopsida, Fagales, Juglandaceae. The record is from RefSeq and is a predicted model, not a curated record. The transcript has 2 exons.
CCGCAGUCAUUAUACAAUAAAGUUGGGAGAGUUAUUCAAUACCAGCUUUGGUCCUUGAUCAAGAGAGGUGGAGUUAUUUCCAUAUCCUUCUAAUUUUGCUUGAUUGUUGACAGUACUGUUUUCAGAUUGCUACAAAUGCCCAACUUGCCACUUUAUGAGCACCAUAAUUUGCUGUUCUUGGGAUCCGAAUGAGUUUCCAUUCUGGGUGCUUGUUCAAAAUUUCCUUGAUAUGAGCCUCUAGUUUACCUUCUCCUUUUACUGCUGGGAUUAUGAUCUGCCUGUUAUUCCCUUCUAUCAGAGCUUGAUUGAUGCCCCCUUUCAUCCGCCAUUUCCAUGCCAACGGGGCUGCACUAGCUUCUGCUUUCCAGAGCUGGUUGGUUUGCGUUUCUUCUACCCAUACUUCUAGUCUAAGACCUUUAUGUUAAGGCCGGCAACACUACUCUCUCUCUCUCUCUCUCUCUCUCUAUAGAAAGUCCACCAUUUCCUAAAAAAUCCAUUACCACCGAUGCAAGAAAAUUCCAGAUUUUAAGAAGCUUGGAAAAACCUCUUGAAGAGCUGCGGACUUAAACAUGCGGCUAGUUAGAUCGAAAUCUUUUAUUGAGAUUUUUAAUCGAAAUCAUUUUCUUCAAGUGGAGCAGGCAGAUCAUCUAUGUAAUUAGUUCUAAUUAGUUGAUUAAAAAAGAACUGAUUCAAUUAAUUGGUAGAAUGUGAGAAAGAACGCGUUGAGCUGAGCUUCAAGCGCGAGAGACCGGAGGGGGCAGUAGAUCAUGAGGUCUAACUGUCCGAGUCCUUUCAGAGAGAGCUAGCCCUUCAUUUGUGCAAGCAGCCAGAUAAAGCUGAGUGAAAAAUGUAGAGGGAAAAAGUGUGGGUCAGCAGGAGUGCAAGUGCAGUAGGCUAGAGUGUUGAUUGAACGAUCAAAAUUAUAGCACUUGGCAAACGGGUAUGGAGUCUGUCUGCAGGGACAAGAUCUCUGGGAGAUUGUUGGUGGCAGUGACAUUGAAUGUGGCGAGUCAAGGUUAGGAAGGCUAUGCUUGCUAUCAAGACAAUGGUGGAGAAGGAAUGAAUUCAUGAGUUGUGGACGCAUAAUUUAUUAUUUUACCAAAUAACAACCUAUGUCACACAUGCAAUGAUAAAUAAAUAUGUUAAUGUAAA